ACAUCGACGGGGAGGUUUGGCACCUCGAUGUCGGCUCAUCACCUCCUGGGGCUGUAGUAGGUCCCAAGGGUUGGGCUGUUCGCCCAUUAAAGUGGUACGCGAGCUGGGUUAAGAACGUCGUGCGACAGUUCGGUCCCUAUCCGUCGCAGGCGUAGGAAAUUUGAGAAGACCUGUCCUUAGUACGAGAGGACCGGGAUGGACGUACCUCUGGUGUACCAGUUGU
RNAcentral lists this ribosomal RNA (223 nucleotides) under Clostridioides difficile. Its description in RNAcentral is "partial 23S ribosomal RNA". It matches the Rfam family "Bacterial large subunit ribosomal RNA", at positions 2502 to 2724 of the family's 2925-position model. The record is from RNAcentral. Lineage: Bacteria; Bacillati; Bacillota; Clostridia; Peptostreptococcales; Peptostreptococcaceae.